RNAcentral lists this ribosomal RNA (904 nucleotides) under Septoria cerastii. RNAcentral describes it as "LSU rRNA". It matches the Rfam family "Eukaryotic large subunit ribosomal RNA", at positions 32 to 964 of the family's 3401-position model. Lineage: Eukaryota; Fungi; Ascomycota; Dothideomycetes; Mycosphaerellales; Mycosphaerellaceae. The record is from RNAcentral.
ACUUAAGCAUAUCAAUAAGCGGAGGAAAAGAAACCAACAGGGAUUGCCCUAGUAACGGCGAGUGAAGCGGCAACAGCUCAAAUUUGAAAUCUGGCGCAAGCCCGAGUUGUAAUUUGUAGAGGAUGCUUCUGGGUAGCGACCGAUCUAAGUUCCUUGGAACAGGACGUCAUAGAGGGUGAGAAUCCCGUAUGUGACCGGCCCGCACCCUUUACGUAGCUCCUUCGACGAGUCGAGUUGUUUGGGAAUGCAGCUCUAAAUGGGAGGUAAAUUUCUUCUAAAGCUAAAUACCGGCCAGAGACCGAUAGCGCACAAGUAGAGUGAUCGAAAGAUGAAAAGUACUUUGGAAAGAGAGUUAAAAAGCACGUGAAAUUGUUGAAAGGGAAGCGCCUGCAACCAGACUUCGCGGCAGUGUUCCGCCGGUCUUCUGACCGGUUCAUUCUCUGUCGCGAGGCCAUCAUCGUCUGGGCCCGCCGGAUAAGACCUUAGGAAUGUAGCUCACCUUCGGGGGAGUGUUUAUAGCCUAGGGUGAUGCGGCGAGGCUCGGGCGAGGUCCGCGCUUCGGCAAGGAUGAUGGCGUAAUGGUUGUCGGCGGCCCGUCUUGAAACACGGACCAAGGAGUCUAACAUCUAUGCGAGUGUUCGGGUGUCAAACCCCUACGCGUAAUGAAAGUGAACGGAGGUGGGAACCGCAAGGUGCACCAUCGACCGAUCCUGAUGUCCUCGGAUGGAUUUGAGUAAGAGCAUAGCUGUUGGGACCCGAAAGAUGGUGAACUAUGCCUGAAUAGGGUGAAGCCAGAGGAAACUCUGGUGGAGGCUCGCAGCGGUUCUGACGUGCAAAUCGAUCGUCAAAUUUGGGUAUAGGGGCGAAAGACUAAUCGAACCAUCUAGUAGCUGGUUCCUGCCGA